Molecule: ribosomal RNA, 399 nt
Filed under: uncultured bacterium
Lineage: Bacteria
Description: bacterial SSU rRNA
Rfam family: Bacterial small subunit ribosomal RNA
Source: RNAcentral
GGAAUAUUGCGCAAUGGGCGCAAGCCUGAAGCAGCGACGCCGCGUGGGUGAUGAAGGUCUUCGGAUCGUAAAGCCCUUUUCUGCGUGACGAGAGAGGACGGUAGCGCAGGAAUAAGUCUCGGCUAACUACGUUCCAGCAGCCGCGGGAAAACGUAGGAGACAAGCGUUAUCCGGAGUUACUGGGCGUAAAGGGCGUGCAGGCGGUCUCUUAAGUCUGUUGUGAAAGUUCCCGGCUAAACCGGGAAAGGUCGACGGAUACUGGCAGACUAGAGGACAGUAGAGGCGUGUGGAAUUCCGGGUGUAGUGGUGAAAUGCGUAGAUAUCCGGAGGAACACCAGUGGCGAAGGCGACACGCUGGGCUGUACCUGACGCUAAGACGCGACAGCAUGGGUAGCGAAC